GCGGAUCUCGAAAGCCUGUCCCAGUUCGGCUGGAGUCUGCAACCCGACUCCACGAAGUUGGAUUCGCUAGUAAUCGCGCAUCAGCCAUGGCGCGGUGAAUACGUUCCCGGGCCUUGUACACACCGCCCGUCAAGCCAUGGGAGCCGGGGGCGCCUGAAGUCCGGGACCGCGAGGACCGGCCUAGGGCGAAACUGGUAACUGGGGCUAAGUCGUAACAAGGUAGC
This 224-nucleotide ribosomal RNA is filed under the name uncultured bacterium. RNAcentral describes it as "partial 16S ribosomal RNA". It matches the Rfam family "Bacterial small subunit ribosomal RNA", at positions 1267 to 1500 of the family's 1533-position model. The record is from RNAcentral.